UACAGAGGGGGCAAGCGUUGUUCGGAUUUACUGGGCUUAAAGGGCGUGUAGGCGUCCUGGUAAGUCAGAUGUGGAAGCCUUGGGCUCAACCCAAGAAUUGCAUUUGAGACUAUCAGGAUUGAGUCGUGCAAGGGAGGGCGGAAUUCCUGGUGUAGCGGUGAAAUGCGUAGAUAUCAGGAGGAAGGCCGGUGGCGAAGGUGGCCCUCUGGGCAAUGACUGACGCUGAGGCGCGAAAGCGUGGGUAGCAAACAGG
Molecule: ribosomal RNA, 253 nt
Filed under: uncultured bacterium
Lineage: Bacteria
Description: partial 16S ribosomal RNA
Rfam family: Bacterial small subunit ribosomal RNA
Source: RNAcentral